Molecule: ribosomal RNA, 284 nt
Filed under: uncultured prokaryote
Description: partial 16S ribosomal RNA
Rfam family: Bacterial small subunit ribosomal RNA
Source: RNAcentral
UACGAACUGUUCUAACGUUAUUCGGAAUCACUGGGCUUAAAGGGCGCGUAGGCUGUUUGUUAAGCGGGGUCUGAAAUCCCUCGGCUCAACCGAGGAACUGGGCUUCGAACUGGCAGACUAGAGUGAAGUAGGGGUAAGCGGAACUUGCGGUGGAGCGGUGAAAUGCUUUGAUAUCGCAAGGAACACCGGCGGCGAAGGCGGCUUACUGGGCUUCAACUGACGCUUAAGCGCGAAAGCUAGGGUAGCGAACGGGAUUAGAUACCCGCGUAGUCCCUGAGCGGGCU